AACGAACGCUGGCGGCGUGCCUAACACAUGCAAGUCGAACGGGGAUAGGGAGCUUGCUUCCUAUUCUAGUGGCGCACGGGUGAGUAACGCGUAGAUAAUCUGCCUGACGAUCCGGGAUAACAUCUCGAAAGGGGUGCUAAUACCGGAUAGGCCCACGGGGUCUUUGGAUCUUGCGGGAAAAGGGGGGGACCUUUUGGCCUUCUGUCGUCAGAUGAGUUGGGGUACCAUUAGCUAGUUGGUAGGGUAAAGGCCUACCAAGGCUACGAUGGUUAGCUGGUUUGAGAGAAUGAUCAGCCACACUGGAACUGAGACACGGUCCAGACUCCUACGGGAGGCAGCAGUGGGGAAUUUUGCGCAAUGGGCGAAAGCCUGACGCAGCAACGCCGCGUGAGUGAUGAAGGCUUUCGGGUCGUAAAGCUCUGUCGAGGGGAAAGAAGUGUAUUGUGGCUAAUAUCCGCGAUACUUGACGGUACCCCUAAAGGAAGCACCGGCUAACUCCGUGCCAGCAGCCGCGGUAA
Molecule: ribosomal RNA, 518 nt
Filed under: uncultured bacterium
Lineage: Bacteria
Description: partial 16S ribosomal RNA
Rfam family: Bacterial small subunit ribosomal RNA
Source: RNAcentral